GAUGAACGCUGGCGGCGUGCCUAAUACAUGCAAGUCGAGCGAACAGACGAGGAGCUUGCUCCUCUGACGUUAGCGGCGGACGGGUGAGUAACACGUGGAUAACCUACCUAUAAGACUGGGAUAACUUCGGGAAACCGGAGCUAAUACCGGAUAAUAUAUUGAACCGCAUGGUUCAAUAGUGAAAGACGGUUUUGCUGUCACUUAUAGAUGGAUCCGCGCCGCAUUAGCUAGUUGGUAAGGUAACGGCUUACCAAGGCAACGAUGCGUAGCCGACCUGAGAGGGUGAUCGGCCACACUGGAACUGAGACACGGUCCAGACUCCUACGGGAGGCAGCAGUAGGGAAUCUUCCGCAAUGGGCGAAAGCCUGACGGAGCAACGCCGCGUGAGUGAUGAAGGUCUUCGGAUCGUAAAACUCUGUUAUUAGGGAAGAACAAAUGUGUAAGUAACUAUGUACGUCUUGACGGUACCUAAUCAGAAAGCCACGGCUAACUACGUA
This 497-nucleotide ribosomal RNA is filed under the name uncultured bacterium. Its description in RNAcentral is "partial 16S ribosomal RNA". It matches the Rfam family "Bacterial small subunit ribosomal RNA", at positions 28 to 507 of the family's 1533-position model. The record is from RNAcentral.